AUUUAAAUAGUUUAAAAAAAAUUUUGAUUUGUGGGGUCAAGGAUAUAGAUUUUCUAUUUUAGAUA
This 65-nucleotide transfer RNA is filed under the name Anthobium melanocephalum. RNAcentral's name for it is "tRNA-His". The record is from RNAcentral. Lineage: Eukaryota; Metazoa; Arthropoda; Insecta; Coleoptera; Staphylinidae.